GACGAACGCUGGCGGCGUGCCUAAUACAUGCAAGUCGAGCGGACUUUCAAGAAGCUUGCUUUUUGAAAGUUAGCGGCGGACGGGUGAGUAACACGUGGGCAACCUGCCUGCAAGACGGGGAUAACUCCGGGAAACCGGGGCUAAUACCGGAUAAUAUCUUCCUUCGCAUGAAGGAAGGUUGAAAGGCGGCGCAAGCUGCCGCUUGCAGAUGGGCCCGCGGCGCAUUAGCUAGUUGGUGAGGUAACGGCUCACCAAGGCGACGAUGCGUAGCCGACCUGAGAGGGUGAUCGGCCACACUGGGACUGAGACACGGCCCAGACUCCUACGGGAGGCAGCAGUAGGGAAUCUUCCGCAAUGGACGAAAGUCUGACGGAGCAACGCCGCGUGAGCGAAGAAGGUCUUCAGAUCGUAAAGCUCUGUUGUCAGGGAAGAACAAGUACCGUUCGAACAGGGCGGUACCUUGACGGUACCUGACCAGAAAGCCACGGCUAACUACGUG
This 499-nucleotide ribosomal RNA is filed under the name uncultured bacterium. Its description in RNAcentral is "partial 16S ribosomal RNA". It matches the Rfam family "Bacterial small subunit ribosomal RNA", at positions 28 to 507 of the family's 1533-position model. The record is from RNAcentral.